This 446-nucleotide ribosomal RNA is filed under the name uncultured bacterium. RNAcentral's name for it is "bacterial SSU rRNA". It matches the Rfam family "Bacterial small subunit ribosomal RNA", at positions 330 to 792 of the family's 1533-position model. The record is from RNAcentral.
UCCAGACUCCUACGGGAGGCAGCAGUGGGGAGUAUUGCACAAUGGGGGAAACCCUGAUGCAGCAACGCCGCGUGGGUGAAGGAGCGUUUCGGCGCGUAAAGCCCUGUCAGCGGGGAAGAAGAAAGACGGUACCCGACCAAGAAGCCCCGGCUAACUACGUGCCAGCAGCCGCGGUAAUACGUAGGGGGCGAGCGUUAUCCGGAAUUACUGGGUGUAAAGGGAGCGUAGACGGCAUGGCAAGUCAGAUGUGAAAGCCCGGGGCUCAACCCCGGGACUGCAUUUGAAACUGUCAGGCUGGAGUGCAGGAGAGGUAAGUGGAAUUCCUAGUGUAGCGGUGAAAUGCGUAGAUAUUAGGAGGAACACCAGUGGCGAAGGCGGCUUACUGGACUGUAACUGACGUUGAGGCUCGAAAGCGUGGGGAGCAAACAGGAUUAGAUACCCCAGUA